Acanthopagrus latus (yellowfin seabream) is the source of this 1088-nucleotide long non-coding RNA. RefSeq lists it as uncharacterized. The transcript is spliced from 3 exons. Lineage: Eukaryota; Metazoa; Chordata; Actinopteri; Spariformes; Sparidae. The record is from RefSeq and is a predicted model, not a curated record.
GCUGCCGCCGCGUGCCCGGAGAGGAGUGCACGAAGCGGACGGGAGCGCGCAUGAAGAGAGCGGAGGCUGAGUGUAGCUCUGAGCAUGUUUCCACACGGUCACACUCCUUCUCUCACUGUUUGCUCGACAUGUUUCACAGAUACCUACAAGUGCCCAUCCUGUCUGUUGGAGUGAUCAGCUCUGCUGCCCUCUCUAAGACCAAACAGAGACCACCGUACUUCUCUUCAUAGAUCCAAUCACCUGCCACAGCUGUGAUUCCCUAUGAGCAUGUAGCAGAGCUCUCCUGCUCGUUCUUCUUGAUGUGCAGCAGAUCCUGAAGGAUUACAAAAAGGAAGCGGCAGACGAGGUGAACCACAAACCAGGACCUCUGGGAGACGGUGCAGUUGUUGUAGGGUUGGUGUGAUGUGCAGUGUGUGACAGAACUCUUGCUGUAGGUAGGUCGGUAGGAAAGGAAUUGCAGUGAAUAAGUCUGCAUGGAGAACAAGUGGUCCUGUCAGAUAAAAUAAUAAUCUUUAUGUAAUUCUUAAUAUGGCAUUUUUAUUAAAAAAAAGUCCUUCUCUGUGCUCUGAGGGGGACAUGUUAGCACAGAAGAUGCUUUGUACUGUGUCUAGUGGUGGCUCGCACAUGACGCCUUCUGAUAACAGCCACCGUCUCAGACUAGAGACUAACUGGUUCUGAACUGCCAGUGGGAAGAGUGAACAUGUCCAUUCUUGAUUAACAGCGUGUAUUUACCUCGCUCACAGACUUGAUUUACAGGUCUGAUUGGCUGCGUGAUAUCAGGUGAGAGGACCAGUCUGAGAGAUUCCUGUACAGCGCUGUGCCAGAGACUACAGAGUGGCCUCUUCCCUCAGGCUGAGACACCUCAGUCAUCUGCAGCAUCCGUCACAUAAAAAAGGUUUAAUUCUAUGAUUUAUCCAACCUGGAUAAGAUGGAAUCUGCCCCAGUGACAGACACUGAAAAUAACUACUUUAAUUAUACAGACAUAGCUGAUUGUGUUGCUGAUGGUCUCAUUUGUUUAAGAAGAAAAUACAGAGGAAUCAUUGUUAUUAAAUUUGGAAUGUUUCAUAAAUCCAGUUAAGUUUCUUGCA